RNAcentral lists this ribosomal RNA (599 nucleotides) under Meloidogyne hapla. RNAcentral describes it as "partial large subunit ribosomal RNA". It matches the Rfam family "Eukaryotic large subunit ribosomal RNA", at positions 399 to 856 of the family's 3401-position model. Lineage: Eukaryota; Metazoa; Nematoda; Chromadorea; Rhabditida; Meloidogynidae. The record is from RNAcentral.
GUGAAACCGGUGAGGAGGAAACGGAUAGAGUCGGCGUAUCUUGCAAGUAUUCAAUUACUUUAUUAUUGUGUUGUUAUCUCUGAGCUCCAGAUUGGGACAGAGGAAAGCAGCAUGAUUUAAUGUGAUGCAUUUACUUGUCUGGUGUGUGGGGGUAUCUAAGAUGGAUUUGCAACCAAUGUUUUGAGGCCAGCUUGCUGGUACCCAAACAUUGUUAACAUUUUUUAUCUUGGAUAUUCGAGUACGGCUUACGUGCAUUUUUUGUAUUGAUCUAAGUGCAAGUUACGGUCGCAUGCGACACGUGCUUUUCAUUUAGUUCGGUGCAGUUAAUGCUCUCGUACUCUCCCCCCAUGUAAAAGCCGGUCAUCUAUUUGACCCGUCUUGAAACACGGACCAAGGAGUUUAUCGUGUGCGCAAGUUUUUGGGUGUUAAAAACCUAGAAGCGAAAUGAAAGUAAAUGAUUCUUUAGAGUCUGAUGUGCAAUCUUUUUUCAGAAAAGUGCAUCAUGGCCCCAUUCUAACUGUUUACAGUAGGGUGGCGGAAGAGCGUACGCGGUGAGACCCGAAAGAUGGUGAACUAUUCCUGAGCAGGACGAAGCCAGA